Molecule: ribosomal RNA, 467 nt
Filed under: uncultured bacterium
Lineage: Bacteria
Description: partial 16S ribosomal RNA
Rfam family: Bacterial small subunit ribosomal RNA
Source: RNAcentral
ACGAACGCUGGCGGCGUGCUUAACACAUGCCAGUCGCACGGAAAGGCCCUGCUUUUGUGGGGUGCUCGAGUGGCGAACGGGUGAGUAACACGUGAGUAACCUGCCCUUGACUUUGGGAUAACUUCAGGAAACUGGGGCUAAUACCGGAUAGGAGCUCCUGCUGCAUGGUGGGGGUUGGAAAGUUUCGGCGGUUGGGGAUGGACUCGCGGCUUAUCAGCUUGUUGGUGGGGUAGUGGCUUACCAAGGCUUUGACAGGUAGCCGGCCUGAGAGGGUGACCGGCCACAUUGGGACUGAGAUACGGCCCAGACUCCUACGGGAGGCAGCAGUGGGGAAUAUUGCACAAUGGGCGGAAGCCUGAUGCAGCAACGCCGCGUGCGGGAUGACGGCCUUCGGGUUGUAAACCGCUUUCGCCUGUGACGAAGCGUGAGUGACGGUAAUGGGUAAAGAAGCACCGGCUAACUACGUG